UGAGAAAACAAUAGUGCUGACAUGAGGUGUCAGUUUGGUGAUGCCCUACUGUUCCAGAACUCACAUUUCUUUCCCCUAGUAGGGCUACACCUAGUAGGACAAGGUCUGAAGGCUCCUCGGCUAACAGUUUCAGAAUCGACCACUGAGUCUGGCCUCCUUGUAAGCCUAAUCACUGUCUCGCUCCACGGUCAGCAUUCCAGAACAAAGUGCCCCGUCCUAAAGAUCCUUGGUGCUCACACCUUUCCUUCCAAAGAGGAGCUGCCUAGACUACAUACGACAAUCUCAACACAAGAAACAAGAGACCCUGUCUCAAAAAAGUUCCAAAUAAACAAAACCAAGGAGUUAUGUACGACUGUGUAGACAUGGCAUGAGUGCCGUGCAUGUGAACAGAUGAGUAGAUGCUAAGACCACCAAUACCUUUUUUCCGAGUUGAUGAUAAAUAAAUUCAGAAAUACACCUUUCUAGCAAUGCCAGAGGGGAGGAUACCAAAUUCCUCUACCCAGGCAAGACCAAGAGGUCAUGAGCUAUCAGCCCCAGCAUAUAAGCCAUAUGCACAUAACUAGAAUGCCCUUCCCAUGGAAAAAUGAUCAUUAACAUUGCUCUUGGAAUAUAAAUUUCCACGCUCUAGGAAUACCAGCUGGUGCUUACAGGGUUUCAAAAAAAAAAAAAAAAA
RNAcentral lists this small RNA (673 nucleotides) under Rattus norvegicus (Norway rat). RNAcentral's name for it is "uncharacterized LOC108351781". Lineage: Eukaryota; Metazoa; Chordata; Mammalia; Rodentia; Muridae. The record is from RNAcentral.